Molecule: long non-coding RNA, 857 nt
Filed under: Homo sapiens (human)
Lineage: Eukaryota; Metazoa; Chordata; Mammalia; Primates; Hominidae
Description: long intergenic non-protein coding RNA 2694
Source: RNAcentral
AGUGUGCGUCAGGGCUCAGCACCACUGCCUAAAAGAUAUGCUGACUUCUAGCUCUGGGCAUGUGAAGAUAAGGCGUUGUCUGUCUCUCUCUGCUGGACGUUCUAUCUAAGCAGCGUGGAUGUUGACAAGGCUCCUGGAAGGACAAGAGAAGAUGUUCAUUGAGUCACUGUUACCAAAUAUUGGCCCCUGGAAAUCUCAUAGUGUAAUUAAAAAGAUGAAGAAGGAAACAGAUACUCUGUGGUGUCAUGGAGAAUUUGUUAAAGACUUUUAAUUGAGAGAUGCGGUCUUGCUGUGUUGUCUGGGCUGUUCUGGAACUUCUGGCCUCAAGCAAUUCUCCUGCCUCAGCCUCCUGAAGUGCUAAAUUACAGGAAGAAGAGCUGCCAGGUCCUGGGAGAACAAGAACAGUGCUUUCUCCAAAUUUUAACAGGAGUACACGAUAACAUCACUAUUGUAAAACCUCAGAUUGGUGCUCAAGAUAGUUUUCAGACCCUGCACUUGAUGGAUCAGCUGGCACUACUCAGAUCAACACACUGGCUCACCUGGUCUUGUGGCCCCCACCCAGGAAAUGACUCAGCACAAGAGGACAGCUUUGACUCCCUGUGAUUUCAUCUCAGACCCAACCAGUCAGCUCUCCCUACUACUUGGCCCCCUACCCACCAAAUUAUCCUUAAAAAACCCCAGCCUCUAAAUUUUGGGGGUGACUGUUUUGAGUAAUAAUAAAACUCUGGUAUCCCAUUGAGCCAGCUCUGCAUGAAUUAGUUAACUGUUUCUCUCUUGCAGUUCCUCUGUCUUGAUAAAUCAGCCUGUCUGGGCAGUGGGCAAAAUGAACCCCCAACAGGAGGAUUUCAAAUGUAAAG